This 1308-nucleotide ribosomal RNA is filed under the name bacterium. RNAcentral's name for it is "bacterial SSU rRNA". It matches the Rfam family "Bacterial small subunit ribosomal RNA", at positions 62 to 1378 of the family's 1533-position model. The record is from RNAcentral.
CCGAGCGGUAGAGAUCUUUCGGGAUCUUGAGAGCGGCGUACGGGUGCGGAACACGUGUGCAACCUGCCUUUAUCUGGGGGAUAGCCUUUCGAAAGGAAGAUUAAUACCCCAUAAUAUACUGAAUGGCAUCAUUCGGUAUUGAAAACUCCGGUGGAUAGAGAUGGGCACGCGCAAGAUUAGAUAGUUGGUGAGGUAACGGCUCACCAAGUCUACGAUCUUUAGGGGGCCUGAGAGGGUGAUCCCCCACACUGGUACUGAGACACGGACCAGACUCCUACGGGAGGCAGCAGUGAGGAAUAUUGGACAAUGGGUGAGAGCCUGAUCCAGCCAUCCCGCGUGAAGGACGACGGCCCUAUGGGUUGUAAACUUCUUUUGUAUAGGGAUAAACCUACCCUCGUGAGGGUAGCUGAAGGUACUAUACGAAUAAGCACCGGCUAACUCCGUGCCAGCAGCCGCGGUAAUACGGAGGGUGCAAGCGUUAUCCGGAUUUAUUGGGUUUAAAGGGUCCGUAGGCGGAUCUGUAAGUCAGUGGUGAAAUCUCACAGCUUAACUGUGAAACUGCCAUUGAUACUGCAGGUCUUGAGUGUUGUUGAAGUAGCUGGAAUAAGUAGUGUAGCGGUGAAAUGCAUAGAUAUUACUUAGAACACCAAUUGCGAAGGCAGGUUACUAAGCAACAACUGACGCUGAUGGACGAAAGCGUGGGGAGCGAACAGGAUUAGAUACCCUGGUAGUCCACGCCGUAAACGAUGCUAACUCGUUUUUGGAGCGUAAGCUUCAGAGACUAAGCGAAAGUGAUAAGUUAGCCACCUGGGGAGUACGAACGCAAGUUUGAAACUCAAAGGAAUUGACGGGGGCCCGCACAAGCGGUGGAUUAUGUGGUUUAAUUCGAUGAUACGCGAGGAACCUUACCAAGGCUUAAAUGGGAAAUGACAGGUUUAGAAAUAGACUUUUCUUCGGACAUUUUUCAAGGUGCUGCAUGGUUGUCGUCAGCUCGUGCCGUGAGGUGUUAGGUUAAGUCCUGCAACGAGCGCAACCCCUGUCACUAGUUGCCAUCAUUAAGUUGGGGACUCUAGUGAGACUGCCUACGCAAGUAGAGAGGAAGGUGGGGAUGACGUCAAAUCAUCACGGCCCUUACGCCUUGGGCCACACACGUAAUACAAUGGCCGGUACAGAGGGCAGCUACACUGCGAAGUGAUGCAAAUCUCGAAAGCCGGUCUCAGUUCGGAUUGGAGUCUGCAACUCGACUCUAUGAAGCUGGAAUCGCUAGUAAUCGCGCAUCAGCCAUGGCGCGGUGAAUACGUUCCCGGG